UAUGUGAUCGUCUCUCGCAUAUCAAUAAGCGGAGGAAAAGAAACUAACAAGGAUUCCCCUAGUAACGGCGAGUGAAGCGGGAAGAGCUCAAAUUUGAAAUCUUAAAGGGUUUCCCUUUACGAAUUGUAGUUUAAAGAAGUGUUUUCUGUUGAGGUUUUGGUAAAAGUUCUUUGGAAUAGGACAUCAUAGAGGGUGAGAAUCCCGUAUUUGACCUUUACUUUCAACUUUGUGAUACACUUUCAAAGAGUCGGAUUGUUUGGGUAUGCAGUCCAAAAUGGGUGGUAAAUUUCAUCUAAAGCUAAAUAUUGGCGAGAGACCGAUAGCGAACAAGUACCGUGAGGGAAAGAUGAAAAGAACUUUGAAAAGAGAGUUAAACAGUACGUGAAAUUGUCAAAAGGGAAGCGUUUGACACCAGUGUUGUUUUUCUGAAAAUCAAUUAAAGAACUGUUUAUGCUAAGUUGUAUAGACUUUAUCAGCUAUCUGUUUAGUUUUAGGCUUUUCUUUAAUGCACUUUUCAGUUAACAAGUCAACAUCAAUUUCUUUUGCUGUAAAAAAGCUUGAGGAAGGUGGCUUGAGAUUCGUCUUAAGUGUUUAUAGCCUCUUGCCUAUGCAGUCGGAGAGAUUGAGGUCUGCAGCGUAGAUCCUUCGGGGCUAAAUGCAUUUGUGCUAAGUUAUAGCAUUUUAUAGACAACUUGUUGACUAUGAUUUGUCUUGUAGCUUACUCGCUUAUGUUAUUUUACCUACGCUUAGGAUGUUGAUCUACAGAGCGAGAGU
Molecule: ribosomal RNA, 774 nt
Filed under: uncultured Neocallimastigales
Lineage: Eukaryota; Fungi; Neocallimastigomycota; Neocallimastigomycetes; Neocallimastigales
Description: partial large subunit ribosomal RNA
Rfam family: Eukaryotic large subunit ribosomal RNA
Source: RNAcentral